CAUUCCUCUUCUUUUUAUCCUUAUAUUGUUUUGAGAGCUUGUACUGUGGUAUUUUUGCAGGUGAGAUUUCUUUCUAAAGCAGCCCCAGAGCCAUUCGCUCACUUGACUGGCAAGUUCAAUGAAUCAUUGUUGGAGAGGCAGAGAGGUGACAUGCGACUACAAGUCUACAACGACAAGAAUCCGAUCAACGAUUUCUCGAAAUGAUCAAUAGAUUAUCAGAUAUUGUGCUGUGUUUUACCCUCAUAUGUUAUAAUUUUUGGUUGAUUGUAAUAUUGACCUGAACAGUAUAUAAUAUUGAUCUGAACAGUAUAUAAUCUGCAUAUUUAUGUUUAGGAAGAACAGUGAUGAUGGAUCUUGUACUAAAAACAGACUGCUCUGCAUCUUCUCACCACAAACACUAUCAGUGGUUGGUAAAUAGUGGAUGAUGGAGUUUCUUCCGGCUCAAAAGUGAGUGCCUAGACAGUUCAUUGAUCUUGCAGUAGGAGGGGGGUCUAAUGAUGAAACAACAGAUCAGGACUCAGGAGCAUGCAUUUUCUUUGUCAGAAGGCCAUGAUCCGGCUCACUCUCGGAUUAGUAAAUGGAAACAGGAUGACUUGUAUAGAGAAACUGAUAGUCUAGAUCAUGGGUCUCAACACUGGGGAGGUUCUAACAAGGUCUCCAUAGAUUGAAUAAUUCCAAAGAAGUUAACCAGGCCGCUGAGGCUACCAUUAGAAAAGCCCGAGUCUCGGUCCAGGCUAACAGAAGGCAUAUAUUGAAGCUCUUCAUGGCUGGCUGGCUAAGUUUGUGGUGCCUCAAGUUGAAUUUUACUCAAAGAGAAGAGGUUCUGCCCUGCCAAAUGGAACUAAUGGGCCCCAGUUGCUUCUAAUUUGCCAAGAUUGGUUAAUUCUUUUAUUAAAUUACCUGAUAAAAUGGUGGGUUAUGCCAUUAAAAGCUUUGCAAAGGAUGUCAAGGCAUUGUGCAAUCAGCAAGAAGAGGAAACUUGAUACUCCCUCCGUCCCAUUUUAACUGCUUUUGACUUUUUUACACGUAUUUUAAGAUGUUAAAAAAAUCACAUCUAAACAUAAUAAUUCUUUAUAAAAUUUAUAUCAAAUAAAAGUUUAGAACCUAAACUUUUAUUUGAUAUAAGAAUUGAAUUAUUUUAUUGAGUGUAGAUAUUAUUUUUUUAUAUCUCAAUAUACGUGCUAGAGAGUCAAACAUCAGUUAAAAUGGGACAGAGGGAGUAGUUUAUCGAAGGUGCUUGACAAAGAGAUUAUAACACUUCAGAAAACAGAGAAGAAGAUAUUGAGACCCAACCAUUUUGAACACAAUCCAGAGUUAGAUACUGAUUCUCAUGUCUUACAUUCCUCGGAACCAAUUUUCUCAAACAAUUUAAAUUACCAAGAUGAUCAACUAUUUGGAAAAUUUCUUUUCAAUUCACCCGGGGUUUGAUAUUCUACUGUAAUUUUCUUGUAACAAGUUCUGUAUAUUGUUGGUAGUCAUUCUUUUUUAUUUGCAUUUAGAUCUGAAUUCAACACCAAAAGUCUAUAUCCAAACGUAAUACUAAAUAAAAUUUUCCGUGGUG
Molecule: long non-coding RNA, 1561 nt
Organism: Daucus carota subsp. sativus
Lineage: Eukaryota; Viridiplantae; Streptophyta; Magnoliopsida; Apiales; Apiaceae
Exons: 2
Source: RefSeq, a predicted model, not a curated record